This 73-nucleotide transfer RNA is filed under the name Gekko grossmanni. RNAcentral's name for it is "tRNA-Asn". Lineage: Eukaryota; Metazoa; Chordata; Lepidosauria; Squamata; Gekkonidae. The record is from RNAcentral.
CUAGAUCAGUAGGCCUUGACCCUACGAAAACUUAAUUAACAACUAAUUGCCCAAACCAGCGGACUUUGACCUA